RNAcentral lists this ribosomal RNA (552 nucleotides) under uncultured bacterium. Its description in RNAcentral is "partial 16S ribosomal RNA". It matches the Rfam family "Bacterial small subunit ribosomal RNA", at positions 355 to 914 of the family's 1533-position model. The record is from RNAcentral.
UGGGGAAUAUUGCACAAUGGGCGGAAGCCUGAUGCAGCAACGCCGCGUGCGGGAUGACGGCCUUCGGGUUGUAAACCGCUUUCGCCUGUGACGAAGCGUGAGUGACGGUAAUGGGUAAAGAAGCACCGGCUAACUACGUGCCAGCAGCCGCGGUGAUACGUAGGGUGCGAGCGUUGUCCGGAUUUAUUGGGCGUAAAGGGCUCGUAGGUGGUUGAUCGCGUCGGAAGUGUAAUCUUGGGGCUUAACCCUGAGCGUGCUUUCGAUACGGGUUGACUUGAGGAAGGUAGGGGAGAAUGGAAUUCCUGGUGGAGCGGUGGAAUGCGCAGAUAUCAGGAGGAACACCAGUGGCGAAGGCGGUUCUCUGGGCCUUUCCUGACGCUGAGGAGCGAAAGCGUGGGGAGCGAACAGGCUUAGAUACCCUGGUAGUCCACGCUGUAAACGGUGGGGUACUAGGUGUGGGGGUCCAUUCCACGGGUUCCGUGCCGUAGCUAACGCUUUAAGUACCCCGCCUGGGGGAGUACGGCCGCAAGGCUAAAACUUAAAGGAAUUGAC